AUUUAAUAAAUGUUCUAUACACUAUGAAUAUAUUAAUAUAUCGAUGUGGUAUGAUGGCAAAUGAGACAACAAUGCGAUAAAUUUAUAAUGAUGUGGAGGAAAGCAUUUAUAGGUUGCAGUACGACCUUCGGCAAUGAGUAAAUCAAUAUCAUAUUGCCACCAAGAGAACACAAUGACAAGAAAAAUGUUAAUUGUUCGAACGAGAAAACUUACGGCCA
This 218-nucleotide long non-coding RNA is filed under the name Mytilus galloprovincialis (Mediterranean mussel). Lineage: Eukaryota; Metazoa; Mollusca; Bivalvia; Mytilida; Mytilidae. The record is from RNAcentral.